RNAcentral lists this ribosomal RNA (162 nucleotides) under uncultured bacterium. RNAcentral describes it as "partial 16S ribosomal RNA". It matches the Rfam family "Bacterial small subunit ribosomal RNA", at positions 355 to 509 of the family's 1533-position model. The record is from RNAcentral.
UGGGGAAUUUUGGACAAUGGGCGCAAGCCUGAUCCAGCAAUGCCGCGUGCAGGAAGAAGGCCUUCGGGUUGUAAACUGCUUUUGUACGGAACGAAAAGGCUCUGGUUAAUACCUGGGGCAUAUGACGGUACCGUAAGAAUAAGCACCGGCUAACUACGUGCC